This 450-nucleotide ribosomal RNA is filed under the name uncultured bacterium. RNAcentral's name for it is "bacterial SSU rRNA". It matches the Rfam family "Bacterial small subunit ribosomal RNA", at positions 329 to 793 of the family's 1533-position model. The record is from RNAcentral.
UGCCAGACUCCUACGGGAGGCAGCAGUGGGGAAUAUUGCACAAUGGGCGAAAGCCUGAUGCAGCAACGCCGCGUGAACGAAGAAGGCUCUUGGGUCGUAAAGUUCUGUUCUGAGGGAAGAAGAAAGUGACGGUACCUCAGGAGAAAGCCCCGGCUAACUACGUGCCAGCAGCCGCGGUAAUACGUAGGGGGCAAGCGUUAUCCGGAUUUACUGGGUGUAAAGGGAGCGUAGACGGCAGUGCAAGUCUGGAGUGAAAGGCGGGGGCUCAACCCCCGGACUGCUCUGGAAACUGUACGGCUGGAGUGCAGGAGAGGUAAGUGGAAUUCCUAGUGUAGCGGUGAAAUGCGUAGAUAUUAGGAGGAACACCAGUGGCGAAGGCGGCUUACUGGACUGUAACUGACGUUGAGGCUCGAAAGCGUGGGGAGCAAACAGGAUUAGAUACCCGAGUAU